RNAcentral lists this ribosomal RNA (492 nucleotides) under uncultured bacterium. Its description in RNAcentral is "partial 16S ribosomal RNA". It matches the Rfam family "Bacterial small subunit ribosomal RNA", at positions 29 to 507 of the family's 1533-position model. The record is from RNAcentral.
AGUGAACGCUGGCGGUAGGCCUAACACAUGCAAGUCGAACGGCAGCACAGUAAGAGCUUGCUCUUACGGGUGGCGAGUGGCGGACGGGUGAGGAAUACAUCGGAAUCUACUUUUUCGUGGGGGAUAACGUAGGGAAACUUACGCUAAUACCGCAUACGACCUACGGGUGAAAGCAGGGGAUCUUCGGACCUUUCGCGUCUGAAUGAGCCGAUGUCGGAUUAGCUAGUUGGCGGGGUAAAGGCCCACCAAGGCGACGAUCCGUAGCUGGUCUGAGAGGAUGAUCAGCCACACUGGAACUGAGACACGGUCCAGACUCCUACGGGAGGCAGCAGUGGGGAAUAUUGGACAAUGGGCGCAAGCCUGAUCCAGCCAUACCGCGUGGGUGAAGAAGGCCUUCGGGUUGUAAAGCCCUUUUGUUGGGAAAGAAAAGCAGCAGGUUAAUACCCCGCUGUUCUGACGGUACCCAAAGAAUAAGCACCGGCUAACUUCGUG